This 784-nucleotide ribosomal RNA is filed under the name Salmonella enterica subsp. enterica serovar Paratyphi B var. L(+) tartrate +. RNAcentral describes it as "Salmonella enterica subsp. enterica serovar Java partial 23S ribosomal RNA". It matches the Rfam family "Bacterial large subunit ribosomal RNA", at positions 1 to 816 of the family's 2925-position model. The record is from RNAcentral. Lineage: Bacteria; Pseudomonadati; Pseudomonadota; Gammaproteobacteria; Enterobacterales; Enterobacteriaceae.
GGGUUGUGAGGUUAAGCGACUAAGCGUACACGGUGGAUGCCCUGGCAGUCAGAGGCGAUGAAGGGCGUGCUAAUCUGCGAUAAGCGCCGGUAAGGUGAUAUGAACCGUUAUAACCGGCGAUACCCGAAUGGGGAAACCCAGUGUGAUUCGUCACACUAUCAUUAACUGAAUCCAUAGGUUAAUGAGGCGAACCGGGGGAACUGAAACAUCUAAGUACCCCGAGGAAAAGAAAUCAACCGAGAUUCCCCCAGUAGCGGCGAGCGAACGGGGAGGAGCCCAGAGCCUGAAUCAGCAUGUGUGUUAGUGGAAGCGUCUGGAAAGGCGCGCGAUACAGGGUGACAGCCCCGUACACAAAAGCGCAUGUGUUGUGAGCUCGAUGAGUAGGGCGGGACACGUGGUAUCCUGUCUGAAUAUGGGGGGACCAUCCUCCAAGGCUAAAUACUCCUGACUGACCGAUAGUGAACCAGUACCGUGAGGGAAAGGCGAAAAGAACCCCGGCGAGGGGAGUGAAAAAGAACCUGAAACCGUGUACGUACAAGCAGUGGGAGCACAGGUUUACCUGUGUGACUGCGUACCUUUUGUAUAAUGGGUCAGCGACUUAUAUUCUGUAGCAAGGUUAACCGUAUAGGGGAGCCGGAGGGAAACCGAGUCUUAAUUGGGCGUUAAGUUGCAGGGUAUAGACCCGAAACCCGGUGAUCUAGCCAUGGGCAGGUUGAAGGUUGGGUAACACUAACUGGAGGACCGAACCGACUAAUGUUGAAAAAUUAGCGGAUGACCUGUGGCU